RNAcentral lists this long non-coding RNA (512 nucleotides) under Androctonus crassicauda. The record is from RNAcentral. Lineage: Eukaryota; Metazoa; Arthropoda; Arachnida; Scorpiones; Buthidae.
GUUUCUUUGGAAAACCAUGAAACAGAUCUGUUGGAAAACCAUGGCAUUCCUUCUUUCAGAGAUGUGACAAGCAUGAUUUAUGGUAACUAUAUUGAUAAUCUCUUGUCACAAAGGGUGCCGUGGGAUGAAUAGGAAGUGUUUGGUCAGAGUUUCCUGGUUGGAUGUAGUGGUGAUGGUAGAAGCAUAUAAAGAGCUACUAAUUUUAAAAUACUUGGGGUGGAUCUUACAGACCAGGCUAUUGAAUUUAUUGCCAUGGUACCAUGCUACAAAUUGCUGUGGUAUCCAUGGAUAUUGUAGCAAUAAAUUCAAUAGCCUGAUCUGUAAGACACACAUCACAAAGGCUAAGGUGUACGGCUAAUGUAUUGUGAUAUGGCCAUAUAUCAGAAAAGCUAAGAUAUUGCUAAGGUAUUAAUGGAUACCUUAGCAAUACCUUAGCCUUUUUUGUGAUAUAUAUUGUAUACUUGAAUAUAAGCCAAUCUGUAUAUAAAUUGACCCCCCCCCCCGACUUCAGA